GGGGAUGUGGCUUAGUGGUAGAGUGCUUGCCUAGCAUGCAUGGAGCCCUGGGUUUGAUUCCUCAUUACCA
This 70-nucleotide transfer RNA is filed under the name Dipodomys ordii (Ord's kangaroo rat). It matches the Rfam family "tRNA". From Rfam's summary of the family: Transfer RNA (tRNA) molecules are approximately 80 nucleotides in length. Their secondary structure includes four short double-helical elements and three loops (D, anti-codon, and T loops). Further hydrogen bonds mediate the characteristic L-shaped molecular structure. tRNAs have two regions of fundamental functional importance: the anti-codon, which is responsible for specific mRNA codon recognition, and the 3' end, to which the tRNAs corresponding amino acid is attached (by aminoacyl-tRNA synthetases). tRNAs cope with the degeneracy of the genetic code in two manners: having more than one tRNA (with a specific anti-codon) for a particular amino acid; and 'wobble' base-pairing, i.e. permitting non-standard base-pairing at the 3rd anti-codon position. The record is from Rfam by way of RNAcentral. Lineage: Eukaryota; Metazoa; Chordata; Mammalia; Rodentia; Heteromyidae.